CCGGAAGUGCGGGUCUUUGGGCCAACCUCCCAUCCGUGUCUAUUGUACCCUGUUGCUUCGGCGGGCCCGCCGCUUGUCGGCCGCCGGGGGGGCGCCUCUGCCCCCCGGGCCCGUGCCCGCCGGAGACCCCAACACGAACACUGUCUGAAAGCCUGCAGUCUGAGUUGAUUGAAUGCAAUCAGUUAAAACUUUCAACAAUGGAUCUCUUGGUUCCGGCAUCGAUGAAGAACGCAGCGAAAUGCGAUAACUAAUGUGAAUUGCAGAAUUCAGUGAAUCAUCGAGUCUUUGAACGCACAUUGCGCCCCCUGGUAUUCCGGGGGGCAUGCCUGUCCGAGCGUCAUUGCUGCCCUCAAGCCCGGCUUGUGUGUUGGGUCGCCGUCCCCCUCUCCGGGGGGACGGGCCCGAAAGGCAGCGGCGGCACCGCGUCCGAUCCUCGAGCGUAUGGGGCUUUGUCACAUGCUCUGUAGGAUUGGCCGGCGCCUGCCGACGUUUUCCAACCAUUCUUUCCAGGUUGACCUCGGAUCAGGUAGGGAUACCCGCUGAACUUAAGCAUAUCAAUAAGCGGGAGGAAUC
RNAcentral lists this ribosomal RNA (573 nucleotides) under Aspergillus niger. Its description in RNAcentral is "eukaryotic LSU rRNA". The stretch from base 187 to 340 matches the Rfam family "5.8S ribosomal RNA". The record is from RNAcentral. Lineage: Eukaryota; Fungi; Ascomycota; Eurotiomycetes; Eurotiales; Aspergillaceae.